This 523-nucleotide ribosomal RNA is filed under the name Arthroderma silverae. Its description in RNAcentral is "eukaryotic LSU rRNA". It matches the Rfam family "Eukaryotic large subunit ribosomal RNA", at positions 87 to 611 of the family's 3401-position model. Lineage: Eukaryota; Fungi; Ascomycota; Eurotiomycetes; Onygenales; Arthrodermataceae. The record is from RNAcentral.
CGGCGAGUGAAGCGGCAAAAGCUCAAAUUUGAAAUCUGGCUCCUUUAGGGGUCCGAGUUGUAAUUUGCAGAGGAUGCUUCGGGAGCGGCCACGGCUUAAGUGCCUUGGAACAGGACGUCAUAGAGGGUGAGAAUCCCGUCUUGAGUCGUUGGUCCGCGCCCAUGUGAAGCUCCUUCGACGAGUCGAGUUGUUUGGGAAUGCAGCUCUAAGCGGGUGGUAAAUUUCAUCUAAAGCUAAAUAUUGGCCGGAGACCGAUAGCGCACAAGUAGAGUGAUCGAAAGGUUAAAAGCACCUUGAAAAGGGAGUUAAACAGCACGUGAAAUUGUUGAAAGGGAAGCGCUUGCGGCCAGACUCGGGUACAGGGUUCAGCGGGUGCGUGUCACCCGUGUACUCCCUGUUUCUCGGGCCAGCAUCAGUUCUGACGGCCGGUCAAAGGCCUCUGGAAUGUGUCGUCUUUCGGGACGUCUUAUAGCCAGGGGUGCAAUGCGGCCUGUUGGGACUGAGGAACGCGCUUCGGCUCGGA